UGAUAAAACAGCCGUGAAGAUAAUUAA
This 27-nucleotide small RNA is filed under the name Bombyx mori (domestic silkworm). RNAcentral's name for it is "ovarian small RNA-32307". Lineage: Eukaryota; Metazoa; Arthropoda; Insecta; Lepidoptera; Bombycidae. The record is from RNAcentral.